This 484-nucleotide ribosomal RNA is filed under the name uncultured bacterium. RNAcentral describes it as "partial 16S ribosomal RNA". It matches the Rfam family "Bacterial small subunit ribosomal RNA", at positions 30 to 507 of the family's 1533-position model. The record is from RNAcentral.
AUUGAACGCUGGCGGCAGGCCUAACACAUGCAAGUCGAGCGGAUGAAGGGAGCUUGCUCCUGGAUUCAGCGGCGGACGGGUGAGUAAUGCCUAGGAAUCUGCCUGGUAGUGGGGGAUAACGUCCGGAAACGGGCGCUAAUACCGCAUACGUCCUGAGGGAGAAAGUGGGGGAUCUUCGGACCUCACGCUAUCAGAUGAGCCUAGGUCGGAUUAGCUAGUUGGUGUGGUAAAGGCCUACCAAGGCGACGAUCCGUAACUGGUCUGCGAGGAUGAUCAGUCACACUGGAACUGAGACACGGUCCAGACUCCUACGGGAGGCAGCAGUGGGGAAUAUUGGACAAUGGGCGAAAGCCUGAUCCAGCCAUGCCGCGUGUGUGAAGAAGGUCUUCGGAUUGGAAAGCACUUUAAGUUGGGAGGAAGGGCAGUAAGUUAAUACCUUGCUGUUUUGACGUUACCAACAGAAUAAGCACCGGCUAACUUCGUG